GGCCGCGGGAAUUCGAUUCAGGCCUAACACAUGCAAGUCGAGCGGUAGAGAGAAGUUUGCUUCUCUUGAGAAAAGCGGACGGGUGAGUAAUGCCUAGGAAUCUGCCUGGUAGUGGGGGAUAACGUUCGGAAACGGACGCUAAUACCGCAUACGUCCUACGGGAGAAAGCAGGGGACCUUCGGGCCCUGCGCUAUCAGAUGAGCCUAGGUCGGAUUAGCUAGUUGGUGAGGUAAUGGCUCACCAAGGCGACGAUCCGUAACUGGUCUGAGAGGAUGAUCAGUCACACUGGAACUGAGACACGGUCCAGACUCCUACGGGAGGCAGCAGUGGGGAAUAUUGGACAAUGGGCGAAAGCCUGAU
This 360-nucleotide ribosomal RNA is filed under the name uncultured bacterium. RNAcentral's name for it is "bacterial SSU rRNA". It matches the Rfam family "Bacterial small subunit ribosomal RNA", at positions 43 to 387 of the family's 1533-position model. The record is from RNAcentral.